UACGGGGGGGGUAAGCGUUGUUCGGAAUUACUGGGCGUAAAGGGCUCGUAGGCGGCCAACUAAGUCAGACGUGAAAUCCCUCAGCUUAACUGGGGAACUGCGUCUGAUACUGGAUGGCUUGGAUUCGGGAGAGGAAUGCGGAAUUCCAGGUGUAGCGGUGAAAUGCGUAGAUAUCUGGAGGAACACCGGUGGCGAAGGCGGCAUCCUGGACCGAAACUGACACUGAGGCGCGAAAGCCAGGGGAGCAAACGGG
Molecule: ribosomal RNA, 253 nt
Filed under: uncultured bacterium
Lineage: Bacteria
Description: partial 16S ribosomal RNA
Rfam family: Bacterial small subunit ribosomal RNA
Source: RNAcentral